Molecule: transfer RNA, 71 nt
Organism: Felis catus (domestic cat)
Lineage: Eukaryota; Metazoa; Chordata; Mammalia; Carnivora; Felidae
Rfam family: tRNA
About the family: Transfer RNA (tRNA) molecules are approximately 80 nucleotides in length.
Source: Rfam
GCCUGGGUGGCUCAGUCGGUUAAGCAUCUGACUUCGGCUCAGGUCCGUGAGUUCGAGCCCCGCGUCAGGCU